UCGGAGAGGGCGCCUGAGAAAUGGCUACCACAUCUAAGGAAGGCAGCAGGCGCGUAAAUUGCCCAAUCCUAAUUCAGGGAGGUAGUGACAAGAAAUAACAACUCGGACCUCACACGAGGUUACGGGAUUGCAAUGAGAACAAUUUAAACCACUUAUCGAGUAACAAUUGGAGGGCAAGUCUGGUGUCAGCAGCCGCGGUAAUUCCAGCUCCAAUAGCGUAUAUUAAAGUUGUUGCAGUUAAAAAGCUCGUAGUUGAAUUUCUGGCCGGUCCUGUUUUGGCUCUAUGGGUCGCUUCAGGACCUGGUCAUCCGUAUGGGAAGCUAGCUCGGCCUUCACUGGUCGGCUAGUGGAUCAUACACUUUACUUUGAAAAAAUUAGAGUGUUUCAGGCAGGCAAUUGCUUGGAUACUUCAGCAUGGAAUAAUGGAAUAGGACUUUGACCUAUUUGUUGGUUUCUUGAGGUCAAAGUAAUGAUUAAUAGGGACAGUUGGGGGCAUUCGUAUUUAAUUGUCAGAGGUGAAAUUCUUGGAUUUAUUAAAGACGAACUUAUGCGAAAGCAUUUGCCAAGGAUGUUUUCAUUAAUCAAGAACGAAAGUUAGGGGAUCAAAGACGAUCAGAUACCGUCCUAGUCUUAACCAUAAACUAUACCGACUAGGGAUUGGUGAGGUCUUCUAAGCCUCAUCAGCACCUUAUGAGAAAUCAAAGUCUUUGGGUUCUGGGGGGAGUAUGGUCGCAAGGCUGAAACUUAAAGGAAUUGACGGAAGGGCACCACCAGGAGUGGAGCCUGCGGCUUAAUUUGACUCAACACGGGGAAACUCACCAGGUCCAGACACAUUAAGGAUUGACAGAUUGAGAGCUCUUUCUUGAUUAUGUGGGUGGUGGUGCAUGGCCGUUCUUAGUUGGUGGAGUGAUUUGUCUGCUUAAUUGCGAUAACGAACGAGACCUUAACCUGCUAAAUAGUCAGGCCCGCUUUGGCGGGUCGCAGGCUUCUUAGAGGGACUAUCGGCUUCAAGCCGAUGGAAGUUUGAGGCAAUAACAGGUCUGUGAUGCCCUUAGAUGUCCUGGGCCGCACGCGCGCUACACUGACACAUGCAACAAGUUUAUUUUUCCUGACUCGGAAGGGUUCGGGUAAUCUUGGUUAAUGUGUGUCGUGCUAGGGAUAGAUCUUUGGAAUUAUAGAUCUUGAACGAGGAAUUCCUAGUAAGCAUAAGUCAUCAGCUUGUGCUGAUUACGUCCCUGCCCUUGUACACACCGCCC
This 1256-nucleotide ribosomal RNA is filed under the name uncultured eukaryote. RNAcentral's name for it is "SSU rRNA". It matches the Rfam family "Eukaryotic small subunit ribosomal RNA", at positions 383 to 1674 of the family's 1831-position model. The record is from RNAcentral.